AAAAUGGAUUUACUAAAAUCCAAAUAUACUACCAAGAAAAUCCAU
Non-coding RNA from Monodelphis domestica (gray short-tailed opossum), 45 nucleotides. The record is from Rfam. Lineage: Eukaryota; Metazoa; Chordata; Mammalia; Didelphimorphia; Didelphidae.